Molecule: microRNA precursor, 70 nt
Filed under: Mayetiola destructor (Hessian fly)
Lineage: Eukaryota; Metazoa; Arthropoda; Insecta; Diptera; Cecidomyiidae
Description: mir-2 microRNA precursor
Rfam family: mir-2 microRNA precursor family
About the family: The miRNAs are transcribed as ~70nt precursors (modelled here) and subsequently processed by the Dicer enzyme to give a ~22nt product. In this case the mature sequence comes from the 3' arm of the precursor.
Source: RNAcentral
CAUAUCGUGAAAAUGGUUGUGCAAUGCUAUUCAAAUAAGGUUCAUAUCACAGCCAUUUUGACGAGUUUGA